This 433-nucleotide ribosomal RNA is filed under the name uncultured Sphingomonadales bacterium. RNAcentral describes it as "bacterial SSU rRNA". It matches the Rfam family "Bacterial small subunit ribosomal RNA", at positions 950 to 1382 of the family's 1533-position model. Lineage: Bacteria; Pseudomonadati; Pseudomonadota; Alphaproteobacteria; Sphingomonadales. The record is from RNAcentral.
UUCGAAGCAACGCGCAGAACCUUACCAGCGUUUGACAUCCUAAUCGCGGUUUUCAGAGAUCGAUUACCUUCAGUUCGGCUGGAUUAGUGACAGGUGCUGCAUGGCUGUCGUCAGCUCGUGUCGUGAGAUGUUGGGUUAAGUCCCGCAACGAGCGCAACCCUCGUCCUUAGUUGCCAUCAUUCAGUUGGGCACUCUAAGGAAACUGCCGGUGAUAAGCCGGAGAAGUGGGGAUGACGUCAAGUCCUCAUGGCCCUUACACGCUGGGCUACACACGUGCUACAAUGGCGGUGACAGUGGGCAGCAACCGGGCGACCGGUAGCUAAUCUCCAAAAACCGUCUCAGUUCGGAUUGUUCUCUGCAACUCGAGAGCAUGAAGGCGGAAUCGCUAGUAAUCGCGGAUCAGAAUGCCACGGUGAAUACGUUCCCGGGCCUU